Long non-coding RNA from Solea senegalensis (Senegalese sole), 811 nucleotides. RefSeq lists it as uncharacterized. The record is from RefSeq and is a predicted model, not a curated record. The transcript is spliced from 4 exons. NCBI's taxonomy places the organism in Eukaryota, Metazoa, Chordata, Actinopteri, Pleuronectiformes, Soleidae.
CUGUCAUUUUUCAGCUUCUUAAAUGUGAAUAUUUUCAGAUUAACUGUUAAUCCAGCGAUGGUCACAACUGCAGCUUUGACUCUUUCUCUCCUCAGGAGGGAAACUUCCUGGAGGUUACAACUACCUGCACGUGACCACACCCACUCCCACAGACCUGACUCCUCCCCCUCCUGUUCCACAGGACAGACGGAUCGUGACCGGACACGUGGAGACGGGGAAUUACUUCAGUCUGCACCUGGACUGCUACGAGCGCGUGGACACGAUCACCUGCUUCUCCCUGAAGCCCCUCCCUGUCUCCAAUUACCUGAGUCUGUACGGGAAACACCAGCAGCUGCUGGGCCAGCUGCUGACCCGCUACCACCAGGACCUGAUCCAUGACCUGUACAGCUUCUUCACACAGAGCUCCUGUUUGGUCGUUUAUCACGACAGAUUCUGUGACUUAGAGCAGGAGCUUCAGCAGAUCACUGCACACACACUCCAGGGCGACGCCGAGCAGGAGACGGCGACGGCGACGGACUGCGGUGCGUUCAAAGACGCAGCGAGUCGAGCAGCUCUGAGACACCGAGCAGUGAAAUAUCUGAACUUCAACAGGAACCUGCUGCCCAUGUUCAGCUGCCCGGGUCAACUGUAACCACGACAACCACUUCAUUUCAAUUUCCUGUCAACUUAAAGGAAACGUUGAAGUGGAACAUCGCGGAGUUCUGUCAGAUUUAAGUCAGAGUUCUGACUUUAAAGUUCUGAAAUCUCAGAAUUCACACUUUAAAAUUCAGAAUUCUGUCAGAUCAAAGUCAGAAUUCUGAAGACUAAAGUG